This 811-nucleotide long non-coding RNA is filed under the name Sinocyclocheilus grahami. Its description in RNAcentral is "lncRNA (ENSSGRG00000022349.1)". Lineage: Eukaryota; Metazoa; Chordata; Actinopteri; Cypriniformes; Cyprinidae. The record is from RNAcentral.
AGUGGCGGGCGUCUCGCGUCUCAGUACCAGGGACAUCACUGAGUCAUCUGUCGCUCUGUCCUGGACUCCACCUGCUGUGCAGUACAACACCUACCACAUCUCCUUCACCAGCAGGAAAGAAACGGAUCAGAAAAUAAGCUCCAAAAUCAAUGGCAGACUGAGCACCUACACUCAGAUUGGACUGGCCGCUGGACAGGAGUAUACAGUCAGCAUCACAGGAGAGAAAGAGGGCAUUAUGGGAACAGAGAGCACAGCAGAAUUCACCACAUUGAUCUCUGGCCCAAAAGACUUGCAAGUUGUGAAGACAUCCACUACAUCAGUCAUUGUCCAAUGGGAGAAGGCACAGGGGGAGAUUGACAGGUACGUCCUCUCCAUUGCACCCAAUCAGACAGAUGGACCAAGCAGACUUCCAGAGAUGAACCUGCCGCCAGAGAGGGAUUCAGCCCAGAUCGACAGCUUGGAGCCGGGCCGCUUGUAUAACAUCUCAUUAGUGGCGGAGAAAGAUAGCAUCCGGAGUCUGCCAGCAACCGCACAGGCAACUCCUGGGAAUGCCUCAGUGCCUGCGACCAGGAUGACCAUGGAUAUGGCGACUGUGCAGGUAGAUGUGGAGGCUGGUGACAACAAAGAAAAGACAUCAAGGUUCACAAACACAACACUUUUCCUGCGAAAGCAAGGACUGAGCAAAGGGGGCCAAGGUACAAAAGGAAAGGUUGAAAAUUCAGAAAGAACAGGGUAUAUGAGCCGACUCAAAACAGGCAUACCUGUAAGACCUGGGCAAAAAAGACCACUGCCCAUGCUUCCCAAACCCGGU